UGUGGAAACGACCGGCGCACGGGUGAGUAACGCGUAUGCAACUUACCCCUGACUGGAGAAUAGCCCAGAGAAAUCUGGAUUAAUACCCCAUAAUAUCCUGAGAACGCAUGUUUUCUGGAUUAAAGCUCCGGCGGUUAAGGAUGGGCAUGCGUCCUAUUAGCUUGUUGGUGAGGUAACGGCUCACCAAGGCUUUGAUAGGUAGGGGGCCUGAGAGGGUGAUCCCCCACACUGGUACUGAGACACGGACCAGACUCCUACGGGAGGCAGCAGUGAGGAAUAUUGGGCAAUGGGCGCAAGCCUGACCCAGCCAUGCCGCGUGCAGGAUGAAGGCCCUACGGGUUGUAAACUGCUUUUAUAUGAGACGAAACUCUCGGUCGUGACCGGGAUUGACUGUACUAUCAGAAUAAGCACCGGCUAACUCCGUGCCAGCAGCCGCGGUAAUACGGAGGGUGCAAGCGUUAUCCGGAAUUAUUGGGUUUAAAGGGUGCGCAGGUGGAAAGAUAAGUCAGUGGUGAAAUCCUACGGCUCAACCGUAGAACUGCCAUUGAUACUGUUGCUCUUGAGUAUGGUUGAGGUAGGCGGAAUGUGGCAUGUAGCGGUGAAAUGCAUAGAUAUGCCACAGAACACCGAUAGCGAAGGCAGCUUACCAAGCCGUUACUGACGCUGAGGCACGAAAGCGUGGGGAGCGAACAGGAUUAGAUACCCUGGUAGUCCACGCUGUAAACGAUGAUCACUCGUUGUUGGCGAUACACUGUCAGCGACCAAGCGAAAGCGUUAAGUGAUCCACCUGGGGAGUACGUUCGCAAGAUUGAACCUCAAAGGAAUUGACGGGGGCCCGCACAAGCGGAGGAACAUGUGGUUUAAUUCGAUGAUACGCGAGGAACCUUACCUGGGCUUAAAUGUAGAGUGCAUAAACGGGAAACUGUUUUUUCCUUCGGGACUCUUUACAAGGUGCUGCAUGGUUGUCGUCAGCUCGUGCCGUGAGGUGUCGGGUUAAGUCCCAUAACGAGCGCAACCCCUAUCGUUAGUUGCCAGCGAGUCAAGUCGGGGACUCUAACGAGACUGCCGGUGUAAACCGCGAGGAAGGUGGGGAUGACGUCAAAUCAGCACGGCCCUUACGUCCAGGGCUACACACGUGUUACAAUGGCCGAUACAAAGGGCAGCUACCAGGUGACUGGAUGCUAAUCUCUAAAGUCGGUCUUAGUUCGGAUCGAAGUCUGCAACUCGACUUCGUGAAGCUGGAUUCGCUAGUAAUCGUAGAUCAGCAACGCUACGGUGAAUACGUUCCCGGGCCUUGUACACACCGCCCGUCAAGCCA
RNAcentral lists this ribosomal RNA (1318 nucleotides) under uncultured prokaryote. Its description in RNAcentral is "partial 16S ribosomal RNA". It matches the Rfam family "Bacterial small subunit ribosomal RNA", at positions 84 to 1404 of the family's 1533-position model. The record is from RNAcentral.